RNAcentral lists this ribosomal RNA (370 nucleotides) under uncultured soil bacterium. Its description in RNAcentral is "bacterial SSU rRNA". It matches the Rfam family "Bacterial small subunit ribosomal RNA", at positions 26 to 369 of the family's 1533-position model. The record is from RNAcentral.
AGGAUGAACGCUGGCGGCGUGCUUAACACAUGCAAGUCGAACGAUGAAGCAGAGCUUGCUCUGUGGAUUAGUGGCGAACGGGUGAGUAACACGUGAGUAACCUGCCCUUGACUCUGGAAUAAGCGUUGGAAACGACGUCUAAUACCGGAUACGAGCUUCCGCCGCAUGGUGAGGAGCCGUAAGAAUUACGGUUCGAAGGAAGUGGACGUCGCGGCCGUACUCAGGUAGUUGGUUGGAGGUAAGUAGGCGUCACCAAGACCUACCGACGGGUAGGCCGGCCGUCGAGGAGGGUGACCGGCCACGACUGGAACGUAGAGACGAACGGUCCGACGACUACCGUACGGGAGGCAGCGAGUGGGGAAGUAUUGGC